RNAcentral lists this ribosomal RNA (864 nucleotides) under uncultured fungus. Its description in RNAcentral is "SSU rRNA". It matches the Rfam family "Eukaryotic small subunit ribosomal RNA", at positions 612 to 1507 of the family's 1831-position model. Lineage: Eukaryota; Fungi. The record is from RNAcentral.
GUUGUGGUUAAAAAGCUCGUAGUUGAACCUUGGGCCUGGCUGGCCGGUCCGCCUCACCGCGUGUACUGGUCCGGCCGGGCCUUUCCCUCUGUGGAACCCCAUGCCCUUCACUGGGUGUGGCGGGGAAACAGGACUUUUACUGUGAAAAAAUUAGAGUGCUCCAGGCAGGCCUAUGCUCGAAUACAUUAGCAUGGAAUAAUAGAAUAGGACGUGUGGUUCUAUUUUGUUGGUUUCUAGGACCGCCGUAAUGAUUAAUAGGGACAGUCGGGGGCAUCAGUAUUCAAUUGUCAGAGGUGAAAUUCUUGGAUUUAUUGAAGACUAACUACUGCGAAAGCAUUUGCCAAGGAUGUUUUCAUUAAUCAGGAACGAAAGUUAGGGGAUCGAAGACGAUCAGAUACCGUCGUAGUCUUAACCAUAAACUAUGCCGACUAGGGAUCGGACGAUGUUAUUAUUUGACUCGUUCGGCACCUUACGAGAAAUCAAAGUGCUUGGGCUCCAGGGGGAGUAUGGUCGCAAGGCUGAAACUUAAAGAAAUUGACGGAAGGGCACCACCAGGGGUGGAGCCUGCGGCUUAAUUUGACUCAACACGGGGAAACUCACCAGGUCCAGACACAAUGAGGAUUGACAGAUUGAGAGCUCUUUCUUGAUUUUGUGGGGUGGGUGGUGCAUGGCCGUUCUUAGUUGGGUGGAGUGAUCUGUCUGCUUAAUUGCGAUAACGAACGAGACCUUAACCUGCUAAAUAGCCCGUAUUGCUUUGGCAGUACGCUGGCUUCUUAGAGGGACUAUCGGCUCAGCCGAUGGGAGUUUGAGCAAUACAGGUCUGUGAUGCCCUUAGAUGUCUGGGCGCACGCGCGCUACACUGAC